This 73-nucleotide transfer RNA is filed under the name Rhipicephalus microplus (southern cattle tick). Its description in RNAcentral is "tRNA-Met". It matches the Rfam family "tRNA". From Rfam's summary of the family: Transfer RNA (tRNA) molecules are approximately 80 nucleotides in length. The record is from Rfam by way of RNAcentral. Lineage: Eukaryota; Metazoa; Arthropoda; Arachnida; Ixodida; Ixodidae.
GCCUCGGUAGUGCAGUAGGCAGAACGUCAGUCUCAUAAUCUGAAGGUCGUGAGUUCAAUCCUCACCAGGGGCA